Molecule: ribosomal RNA, 388 nt
Filed under: Europiella artemisiae
Lineage: Eukaryota; Metazoa; Arthropoda; Insecta; Hemiptera; Miridae
Description: partial large subunit ribosomal RNA
Rfam family: Eukaryotic large subunit ribosomal RNA
Source: RNAcentral
GGGCGUCUCUUUCUCUUUGAGUAGAGGCGCACCCAGAGCGCACACGCUGAUACCCGAAAGAUGGUGAACUAUGCCUGGCCAGGACGAAGCCAGGGGAAACCCUGGUGGAGGUCCGCAGCGAUUCUGACGUGCAAAUCGAUCGUCGGAGCUGGGUAUAGGGGCGAAAGACCAAUCGAACCAUCUAGUAGCUGGUUCCCUCCGAAGUUUCCCUCAGGAUAGCUUGCGCUCACGUGAACGAGUCUCAUCCGGUAGAGCGAAUGAUUAGAGGCCUUGGGGUCGAAACGACCUCAACCUAUUCUCAAACUCCAAAUAGAUGAGAACUCCGGCUUUCUUGAACUUUGUUUUUGAAGCCGGGGGCUUGGAUCAGAGUGCCAAGUGGGCCAAUUUU